AUGGCGCAAAGAGCGGGAUGUAAACGCAUCAUUAUCAACUCGGAUAACCUGGAGGUGAUUGAUACUAUGCAUGAUGGACGGCAGUGGUUGAGUGCGGCGGCAGCAAUCUUCGACGAUUGUUUUCACUAUGCCUAUGAUUUCGUUGCUACUAGUUUUGAGCAUUGUAAUAGAGAAGCAAAUAAACUUGCUCACGAGCUUGCUAGAUUAGCUAGAUUUUCUUUGACUUCUGAUUGGUUUGAGGAACCUUUAAAUGAAAUUGUAACACUCCUCACAAAUGAUGUACUACUUAUUUAAAAUGAAUAA
This 303-nucleotide ribosomal RNA is filed under the name Triticum aestivum (bread wheat). Its description in RNAcentral is "partial small subunit ribosomal RNA". Lineage: Eukaryota; Viridiplantae; Streptophyta; Magnoliopsida; Poales; Poaceae. The record is from RNAcentral.